Molecule: transfer RNA, 79 nt
Filed under: Collybiopsis luxurians FD-317 M1
Lineage: Eukaryota; Fungi; Basidiomycota; Agaricomycetes; Agaricales; Omphalotaceae
Description: Gymnopus luxurians FD-317 M1 tRNA
Rfam family: tRNA
About the family: Transfer RNA (tRNA) molecules are approximately 80 nucleotides in length. Their secondary structure includes four short double-helical elements and three loops (D, anti-codon, and T loops). Further hydrogen bonds mediate the characteristic L-shaped molecular structure. tRNAs have two regions of fundamental functional importance: the anti-codon, which is responsible for specific mRNA codon recognition, and the 3' end, to which the tRNAs corresponding amino acid is attached (by aminoacyl-tRNA synthetases). tRNAs cope with the degeneracy of the genetic code in two manners: having more than one tRNA (with a specific anti-codon) for a particular amino acid; and 'wobble' base-pairing, i.e. permitting non-standard base-pairing at the 3rd anti-codon position.
Source: Rfam by way of RNAcentral
GGUCUAAUAGUGUAGAGGUUAGCACAUGGGAUUUUGAUAUUACUUUCCCAUAACCCAGGUUCGAGUCCUGGUUAGACCU